AAUUCUAGAGCUAAUACAUGCUAAAAACCUCGACUUCGGAAGGGGUGUAUUUAUUAGAUAAAAAACCAAUGCCCUUCGGGGCUCCUUGGUGAUUCAUAAUAACUUAACGAAUCGCAUGGCCUUGUGCCGGCGAUGGUUCAUUCAAAUUUCUGCCCUAUCAACUUUCGAUGGUAGGAUAGUGGCCUACCAUGGUUUCAACGGGUAACGGGGAAUUAGGGUUCUAUUCCGGAGAGGGAGCCUGAGAAACGGCUACCACAUCCAAGGAAGGCAGCAGGCGCGCAAAUUACCCAAUCCCGACACGGGGAGGUAGUGACAAUAAAUACUGAUACAGGGCUCUUUUGGGUCUUGUAAUUGGAAUGAGUACAAUUUAAAUCCCUUAACGAGGAACAAUUGGAGGGCAAGUCUGGUGCCAGCAGCCAG
This 420-nucleotide ribosomal RNA is filed under the name Lanzia berggrenii. Its description in RNAcentral is "SSU rRNA". It matches the Rfam family "Eukaryotic small subunit ribosomal RNA", at positions 154 to 576 of the family's 1831-position model. Lineage: Eukaryota; Fungi; Ascomycota; Leotiomycetes; Helotiales; Rutstroemiaceae. The record is from RNAcentral.